Carassius gibelio (silver crucian carp) is the source of this 1929-nucleotide long non-coding RNA. RefSeq lists it as uncharacterized. The record is from RefSeq and is a predicted model, not a curated record. The transcript has 3 exons. Lineage: Eukaryota; Metazoa; Chordata; Actinopteri; Cypriniformes; Cyprinidae.
AAGUCUGCAGGACGGUAGCUCUCCAGGAGCAGGGUUGGAGAUCCCUGGGGGGUAUUGCACAAAAGCAAGGUAAGGGAUUAAGCUGGGAUUUUCCAGUUAUCCUGGCUGAAUUUAGCCCUGACUCGGUUGCAUGAAGGCAGGCUAAAUUAAUCUACAUUAAGUUUCUAUGGAGAUUGACACUUUGCAGUUAGCCUGAUUAAUCCUAGUGAUUUAUUGGCUAGUUCCUCCCUAAAUCCUACUAGAUAUUAAUGUGUUUUAGUCACUUAGGUCCUGCAUUAAAAUACUAGAUAUACUGUCAUUCAUCUAAGUAUGCGUACUGUUAUUUUAGUUAUAAUUGAAAACUGCUGUUCAUUUCACUGUCAGAGGUUUGAUGAAUAUAUUCAAGAUUCAAAGCGUUUAUUGUCAUACACCCAGUGAGGAAAGCAGAUUUUCCUGAGCAAUAAUUAUUUGCUGUCCACAAUGAAUGCCAACACAGUGCAAAAUAACUAUACUAUGCAAUAUGAGAAAUAGAAUAUAGACUAUGUAUAUCUGUAUAUGCAAGAAUAGAGUAGAAAUGUACUGUUGAAUGUCAGUAUGUAGUAUAUAUAGACUAAAGAUUUGUGUGUUUCCUAUUCACAAUGCCUUGCCCUUUGUUGAUGAUGUAGUUGAUGAGGAAGUUUCAAUACUCAGACGAGCAUUCAGGCGUGAAAUAGUCUUCUGAGAUAGGGCAGACCCAUUGGCCUUUUCAGACGAAUAUCUGACUGAGAGGUACAGAUUCUCAGGUGAUGGCAUCAGAUAUUUGUGUAGGCUGCUGGGUCCAAACAUACAGCACAAGACAGCAUGAAGCCAUGCUCUCACUGUCCCACAGAUGGUCUGUGUUGCACUGCGAUUCUUUGCAAGUGGCAUGUUUCUGUAUUCUGUCAGUGAUGCAGAAAACCUCAAUAAAUCCACUAUUUGCCAGACAAUAUGAAAUGUAAGUCUGGCAAUGAAAUCUCUUGUGCACAUAUUUAUCACCUUCACUGGUCGCAGAAGAUUCAUCCACAUCAAGGAUGAGUUCUACAAGAUUGCAGGUAACAUGAAUAAUAAUGAAAUGUUACAUUAGCACAGCCACAGUAUGACACCCAUUAUUUUGUGUUACAGCUUUUCCUAAUGUAAUUGGUACAAUGGAUUGCACCCAUAUUCAUAUCCAACGCCCCUCAGGGGCACAUGAGGGAUAUUAAUUUAACAGGAAAUCCUUCCACAGUGUCAAUGUUCAGAUGAUCUGUGAUGCUGACUGUCUUAUCACAAAUUUAGAGGCAAAGUGCUCAGUCCAUGACUCCAGAAUCUUUCGGGCCAGUAGAAUUUACCAGAGACUCUCUCUAGGUGAGUUCUCUGGUGUGCUGCUGGGGGACAAAGGCUAUGCCUGUGAGACAUUUCUGAUGACUCCCCUUACAGACCCCCAAACCCCAGCACAGCAAGCUAACAACCAUGCCCAUGCCAAAACCAGGGCUCAAAUUGAAAUGACCUUCGGCCUCCUGAAAUCACGAUUUCAGUGCCUGCACCACCUGAGAGCCUCCCAAGACAGAGCAUUUGAUGUGAUUGUUGCCUGCACAGUGCUUCACAAUAUUGCCAGCCUAAGAAAAGAAAGGGUUCACAGAGUUGCUUUGGAUGUUGAUUGGGACAAUGCUGCCAUAUUCCCAGAUAACAGAAAUGGUAGACUUGUUAGAGAACAAUACAUUGCAAAUUAUUUCAGUUAAUUUAGUUUUGAUUUAGCCCAUACCUUAAUAAAGGAUAAUGUAGGCUAUAUAACUUUCAUAUGUACCUCUAUUUUAUUUGGCAUCGGUAGCACACACAGUGGUUAUCUUCCCAAAUUCUAGUUCCACUUCACUGAAUCAAUAACUAUAGUGUACUUGACAUUCACACAAAGACCACAAUGGCUUUGGAAUAUUUUUAUGUUAUUUUGCUGUUAUC